This 429-nucleotide ribosomal RNA is filed under the name uncultured bacterium. RNAcentral's name for it is "bacterial SSU rRNA". It matches the Rfam family "Bacterial small subunit ribosomal RNA", at positions 355 to 796 of the family's 1533-position model. The record is from RNAcentral.
UGGGGAAUAUUGCGCAAUGGGCGGAAGCCUGACGCAGCGACGCCGCGUGGGGGAUGACGGCCUUCGGGUUGUAAACCUCUUUCAGCAGGGACGAAGCGCAAGUGACGGUACCUGCAGAAGAAGCUCCGGCUAACUACGUGCCAGCAGCCGCGGUAAGACGUAGGGAGCGAGCGUUGUCCGGAUUUAUUGGGCGUAAAGAGCUCGUAGGUGGCUUGUCACGUCGGUUGUGAAAACCUGCAGCUUAACUGUGGGCUUGCUGCCGAUACGGGUAGGCUAGAGGCAGGUAGGGGAGAGUGGAAUUCCUGGUGUAGCGGUGAAAUGCGCAGAUAUCAGGAGGAACACCGGUGGCGAAGGCGGCUCUCUGGACCUGUUCUGACGCUGAGGAGCGAAAGCGUGGGGAGCGAACAGGAUUAGAUACCCCCGUAGUCC